Molecule: ribosomal RNA, 510 nt
Filed under: uncultured bacterium
Lineage: Bacteria
Description: partial 16S ribosomal RNA
Rfam family: Bacterial small subunit ribosomal RNA
Source: RNAcentral
GACGAACGCUGGCGGCGUGCUUAACACAUGCAAGUCGAACGAAGAGCGAUGGAAGCUUGCUUCUAUCAAUCUUAGUGGCGAACGGGUGAGUAACGCGUAAUCAACCUGCCCUUCAGAGGGGGACAACAGUUGGAAACGACUGCUAAUACCGCAUACGAUCUAAUCUCGGCAUCGAGGAUAGAUGAAAGGUGGCCUCUACCUGUAAGCUAUCACUGAAGGAGGGGAUUGCGUCUGAUUAGCUAGUUGGAGGGGUAACGGCCCACCAAGGCGAUGAUCAGUAGCCGGUCUGAGAGGAUGAACGGCCACAUUGGGACUGAGACACGGCCCAGACUCCUACGGGAGGCAGCAGUGGGGAAUCUUCCGCAAUGGACGAAAGUCUGACGGAGCAACGCCGCGUGAGUGAUGACGGCCUUCGGGUUGUAAAGCUCUGUUAAUCGGGACGAAAGGCCUUCUUGCGAACAGUUAGAAGGAUUGACGGUACCGGAAGAGAAAGCCACGGCUAACUACGUG